AGUUUUCAGUCAGUUCUCUCAACGCUUGCAGUGUUGUCGUGAAAUAUUAGUGCUAAUUACCUAUUGCAUAGCUAAAUUAUGGCCCAGGACGUGAGCUCUUAUGAUAUCGCUCGGAAUGACAAAUUUGGACGAUAUCUGGUCGCGAAUAAAGACCUGACGGCUGGGGAGUUAAUUUUUACAGAUAAGCCUUUCGCUUUCGGACCGAAACCAGACAGCCCGCCGCUGUGCCUAGGAUGUUACUGCCCCGUGCAGAGCACGCUAUGUUCCCGCUGUGGCUGGCCAAUCUGUGGCGCGGAGUGCGAAGCGGCACCGGCGCACGCGGGAGAAUGCGCGGUAUUCGCGGCUGCCAAGGUGCGCUUCCAGCCACCAGAAGACUGGACCGAAAGUUCACCACAACUCGACUGCAUCACACCGUUGAGAAUGCUACUAGCCAAAGAGAAGGACCCAGAACGCUGGCAGCGUGAACUCGAGCCUAUGGAAACUCACGCAACGGCGCGGCAAGAGCGGCCAGCGUGGGCCGCCGACCAAGUCAACGUGGUCACCUUCCUGAUCGAUCAUUGCAAGCUCGGCGCGCGAUUCGACAAGGAGCUGGUGCAGCGAGUCUGUGGCAUCCUUGAGGUGAACGCAGUGGAGAUUCCAUCUCGUGGCGGAUUCAGCAUCCGCGCAAUCUACCCUCAGCUCGCCAUAGCAGCUCACAGCUGUGUCCCCAACAUCGUGCACACUAUACUCCAGAAUGAUUAUGAGGUCCAGGUGCGAGCGGCAGUGGCAAUCCCAUCCGGCGCUGCACUACAUCUAUGUUACACGCACGUACUCUCCCCAACACCCACUCGGCGCGACUACCUACUGGAGUCCAAGUUCUUCGCCUGUGACUGUGCACGCUGCGCCGACCCCACGGAGCUCGGCUCGCAUCUCAGCACGCUCAAGUGCAACAAGUGUGAUAACGGGGUCAUCCUGUGCAGUAAUCCGUUAGAUAACGAGUCGCCUUGGAAGUGCAACGACAAGAACUGCGGCUUCCAAACGUCGAGCGCAGCAAUGAAAAAGAUGUUGGCCGUGGUUCAGGCGGAAGUCGACCAGCUGGACGCAUUAGAAGGAACACAGGCCAUCGAGAUGAGAGAGGCCACGCUUAAGAAGUAUAAGUCAGUGUUCCACCCACGGCACGCCAUCCUGCUAUCCCUGAAGCACGCGUUGGCGACUCUGUACGGGCGCGUGGAGGGCUACGCCAUCGACGAGCUGCCCGACCUGCUGCUGGAGCGCAAGGCCGAGCUGUGCCGCCUCGUGCUCGACACGCUGCAGAUAGUCGCGCCCGGAGAGACCAGGAUGCGCGGUAUGAUGUUGUACGAGCUCCACGCGCCCGUGAUGUUCCUCGCCCGCAGCGAGUUCAGCGCCGGCCUCAUCGACCAGGACAAGCUGAAGGAGCGCCUGCAGGAGCCCAUCCGACUCCUGGCGGAAGCUUCGAGAAUACUCGGCCGGGAGGACCCGCAGAGCCCCGAGGGCAUCACGGGAGAGAUCGCGAAACAGUCCAUGGAGCAACUCCAGGCUAGCAUUGACGCGUUGUAGCCAGGAUGGAUCCUAUGACUCGGUUGUUGGGGACUUUAACGGCCCAGCCACGACAUUGGUCUUAGCAGGGAUUUCCGAAUGCGACCCGCUAAGUGCUUCGUUCUAAAGCGACUAGGUUGGAGUGGGACACAGCGAUGGGAGCUUUCGUUCGCACCUAUGACCACUGCUGUCGCCUUAAACCAAUGUUGUGGCCAGGCCGUAUGAGCCUCGAGAUCGACUGAGUUUGAGUAGCCUCAGAUUUGCAUUUGUCAUUUGUUAUAAAUAUGUAGUGUAGUCGUCUGUCUCUACUGGCUAGUUUUUCUUUAGCCAGUUUGUUGAAAACAAUGUAGUGAAAAUAUUGUGGAGGUUUCGAAACCAUCAGAAAAUAAUAUUCGAAAAUUUCGAAAUAACCUUAAAAUGAACCAAAUACUUAUAGAAUGUCUAGUCAUCGUUCUGUUUGUUUUUGAAGAAUCUUGAAGGGAGAACCCUGGUUAAACAUUUUCGCAUAUUUACCUCGAAUAAUUGAAUUUUCAAAUGUUUUUGUGUGUUAUGCUGUAGUAAAUUAUCUCAAAAAAGACAAAUAUUUAAAUUAUGAUCUCUUGGAAAACAUUUGGAGGUUUUUGAAAUUUAUACAAACUUUAUGUUAAGUCUGAAUCUUCUCUUGUAUUACUUAAUAUCAAAAGUAUGUACUAUUAAAAAAAGACCAUGUACUUAUUGUAUUACUUAAUUAUGUGAUAGAAGUAAGUAGAUUUGUAUAUUGUAUGUGUAUUCGUAUAUAUGUUGUAUUAAUGUUGGGUAUGCACUAAAUGUUGAUAAACAUUA
This 2358-nucleotide unclassified non-coding RNA is filed under the name Leguminivora glycinivorella. RNAcentral describes it as "sET domain-containing protein SmydA-8, transcript variant X2". The record is from RNAcentral. Lineage: Eukaryota; Metazoa; Arthropoda; Insecta; Lepidoptera; Tortricidae.